RNAcentral lists this transfer RNA (65 nucleotides) under Proagoderus schwaneri. RNAcentral's name for it is "tRNA-His". The record is from RNAcentral. Lineage: Eukaryota; Metazoa; Arthropoda; Insecta; Coleoptera; Scarabaeidae.
AUUUAAGUAGUUUAAAAUAAAAUAUUGAUUUGUGAUAUCAAAGAUAUAUAAAAAUAUCUUAAAUA